UUAUUAGAUAAAAAGCCAGUUCAUGCUUUUACAGUAUGAAAAUUGGUGAUUUAUAAUAACUUAGCAAAUCGCAAAGUGAAAACAGGCGAUAAAUCAUUCAAGUUUCUGACCUAUCAGCUUUCGACGGUAUGGUAUUGGCUUACCGUGGCAGUGACGGUUAACGGGGGAUUAGGGUUCGAUUCCGGAGAGGGAGCCUGAGAAACGGCUACCACAUCUAAGGAAGGCAGCAGGCGCGCAAAUUACCCAAUUCUAACAGUUUGAGAGAGGUAGUAACAAGAAAUAACAAUACAAGGCAGUUAAAAUGCUUUGUAAUUGGAAUGAUAGAAAUUUAAACCCUUUUUAAAGUAUCAAUUGGAGGGCAAGUCUGGUGCCAGCAGCCGCGGUAAUUCCAGCUCCAAUAGCGUAUAUUAAAAUUGUUGCAGUUAAAAAGCUCGUAGUUGAAGUUCUGCUGAAAGUAACCGGUCUGCUUUUAAUAAAAGUGGUAUCUUGGUAUGUAUUUAGCAAUGAUGUCCUUUGAAGUGUUUUUUACUUUAUUGUAAUAAAGCAUAUUCAGGACUUUUACUUUGAGAAAAUUAGAGUGUUUCUAGCAGGCUAACGCUUUGAAUACUGCAGCAUGGAAAUAA
Molecule: ribosomal RNA, 623 nt
Filed under: Hepatozoon canis
Lineage: Eukaryota; Apicomplexa; Hepatozoidae
Description: bacterial SSU rRNA
Rfam family: Eukaryotic small subunit ribosomal RNA
Source: RNAcentral